AUCGCCGCACUUGGCGUAGCUGUCGAUGAGGGAGCUCCUGACGAAGACGUCCGAUUCCAAGCCGGCCUUCACCACCGGGCAGUGGAUCCCCCGCAGAGCCUGGAGAUCGCUGCAGGAGCGGAGGACGGAGGAGUAAGUGUACAUGUUGGGCCUCACGCCGUCUCUGAUCAUCUGAACCAGGAGACUCAGUGCUUCCUCUUCUCCCCUGCAGGUCGAGAUCAUGGUAGUCCAGGAGACUACGUUUCUCUCCGGCAUUUCAUCGAACAGCUUCCGUGCCUCCUCGGCAAGCCCCAGCUUCGUGUACAUGUUCAGGAGGACGUUGUAGAGGAACAUGCUGAGCAGGGGACCGCCGCCGCCCCCGCCGCCGGCUGCGAGGUGGCGGUGGACGCGCCGCCCCUCCUCCGCCGCGUUGUUCUUCAGGCAGCACUUGAUGAGCUCAGAGUAGGCGACGGGGUCCCCGCGGAGGCCGCGCCGGUGGAGGGAUUCCAUGGCCGCGAUGGCCCCCGGGAGGUCGUGCCGGCGGCAGAGCUCUGCGAACUCCGCCCCCGCCGCCGACGCCGGUAGGGAAGACGCCCGGCGGCGGAGCAACGGCGACAGGAGUAGUCUUCUGCUGCUGAAGCCCACGGGGGGCCUCAU
This 636-nucleotide long non-coding RNA is filed under the name Spirodela polyrhiza (greater duckweed). RNAcentral describes it as "long non-coding RNA (SPOL_LNC000454)". The record is from RNAcentral. Lineage: Eukaryota; Viridiplantae; Streptophyta; Magnoliopsida; Alismatales; Araceae.